UACGAAGGGGGCUAGCGUUGCUCGGAAUCACUGGGCGUAAAGGGUGCGUAGGCGGGGCUUUAAGUCAGGGGUGAAAUCCUGGAGCUCAACUCCAGAACUGCCUUUGAUACUGAAGAUCUUGAGUUCGGGAGAGGUGAGUGGAACUGCGAGUGUAGAGGUGAAAUUCGUAGAUAUUCGCAAGAACACCAGUGGCGAAGGCGGCUCACUGGCCCGAUACUGACGCUGAGGCACGAAAGCGUGGGGAGCAAACAGG
Molecule: ribosomal RNA, 253 nt
Filed under: uncultured bacterium
Lineage: Bacteria
Description: partial 16S ribosomal RNA
Rfam family: Bacterial small subunit ribosomal RNA
Source: RNAcentral